CCCACGAGUAGAGAGACGGCAGGAAGUUCCAGCUCAGUUCAACUGCGGCCGCAGCUUAAUGAUGUGCUCUGUGAUUGUCUAGCCGAUAUCAGUAACAUGACCCGAAAAACUUGUUAUAGGUUCCCUCGCUCUUCUCGGGAGAAUUCAGUGCUCUGAAGGGAUUUAAAUGGACUCUAACGGACAGCUGAACUUCAAUUCAUCGUUUCUCUCCGCCCGGUGUCAAACGAAUGGCAAACGUCAAAGUCGCGAUUCGAGUCCGUCCGCUGAACUCCAGAGAGAGUCUGGAUGGAGGACGAUUUGCUGUACAAUUGGAAGACAAAGUGGUGAGGGUACGAAAUGUCAAGUUGGAGGGGCGUUUGGACGGGCGAUCGGAGGGUCUGACUGACUCUAGGGAGAAGUUUCUGGAGUUUGGGUUUUGUUU
Cyprinus carpio (common carp) is the source of this 421-nucleotide long non-coding RNA. RefSeq lists it as uncharacterized. The record is from RefSeq and is a predicted model, not a curated record. The transcript is spliced from 3 exons. Lineage: Eukaryota; Metazoa; Chordata; Actinopteri; Cypriniformes; Cyprinidae.